Molecule: ribosomal RNA, 1314 nt
Filed under: human oral metagenome
Description: bacterial LSU rRNA
Rfam family: Bacterial large subunit ribosomal RNA
Source: RNAcentral
UGUGGGUAGGGGUGAAAGGCCAAUCAAACUCCGUGAUAGCUGGUUCUCCCCGAAAUGCAUUUAGGUGCAGCGUCGCAUUGUGUGCUUGUUGGAGGUAGAGCUACUGGUUGGUUGAGCGGGACGAUAAUCUUAGCAACAUCAGCUAAACUCCGAAUGCCAGCAAUGUGGGUGCGGCAGUGAGACUGCGGGGGAUAAGCUCCGUUGGUCGAGAGGGAAACAGCCCAGAUCGUCGGUUAAGGCCCCUAAGGGUGUGCUCAGUGGGAAAGGAUGUGGGAUCGCGAAGACAGCCAGGAGGUUGGCUUAGAAGCAGCCAUCCUUGAAAGAGUGCGUAAUAGCUCACUGGUCGAGUGGUUCUGCGCCGAUAAUGUAGCGGGGCUUAAGUACACCGCCGAAACCGCGGCAACACAUGUAAAGGUGUGUUGGGUAGGGGAGCGUCGUGCAUGUGUUGAAGCUAUCUGGUGACAGGUGGUGGAGUGUGUGCGAGUGAGAAUGCAGGCAUGAGUAACGAUUGAUGUGUGAGAAACAUAUCCGCCGGAUGACUAAGGGUUCCUGGGUGAAGUUUGUCUUCCCAGGGUGAGUCGGGGCCUAAGGCGAGGCCGACAGGCGUAGUCGAUGGAUGACGGGUUGAUAUUCCCGUACCCGUGUGCGUGCGACAAGUGAUGAAUCUUAUGGUACUAACCACCCGCCUGUGUGCACCGGUCUUUUUGGUUGGUGUGUGUGGGUGCGUGGGAUCUUCGUGGGUAGUAGUCAAGUGAUGGGGUGACGCAGAGUGGUAGCUAGGCUUCCUUAUUGGAUUGGAGUGCAAGCGUGUGGCCUGUGGGGUUGGGAAAUCCGCCCCACACAUGAGGUGAGGCGUGAUGCGGACACCAGUUGUGGUGGUAGUUAGUGUGCCUGUGCUGUCUAGAAAAGCCUCUAGCGAGUGCGUGCAUGGCCCGUACCGGAAACCGACACAGGUGGUCAGGUAGAGAAUACUAAGGCGUUCGGGUGAACUGUGGUUAAGGAACUCGGCAAAAUGCCCCCGUAACUUCGGGAGAAGGGGGACCAUUACUAGUUGCUGACAGCAUGAUGGCUGGUGGUGGUCGCAGAGGAGAGAGGGAAGCGACUGUUUAUUAAAAACACAGGUCCGUGCGAAAACGUGGAAGUUGAGGUAUACGGACUGACGCCUGCCCGGUGCUGGAAGGUUAAGAGGACCCGUGAGCAUGCCUUUAUGUGUGCGAGGCGGAGAAUUGAAGCCCCAGUAAACGGCGGUGGUAACUAUAACCAUCCUAAGGUAGCGAAAUUCCUUGUCGGGUAAGUUCCGACCUGCACGAAUGG